AUGUAUAAAUAAGGGAAACUUAAUAUAAUUAAACAUUAAACAAAUCAUUAGUGCUCCAUUAACUAUAUUAUAAACUACAUAAAAUAAACCUUAGUGGGCAGAAUUGGGUCAUCUUCAACCUUGGGAGAAGCUUGCCGAAUUGAUCCUCUCAAAGUCCUCCAUGGCCACCAUGCAUGAAGCUAUGAAGCUUUCUCUCUCCAUUAUCAAGCCCUCACUUUCCACUUCUUUCCUUCAUUAA
This 238-nucleotide unclassified non-coding RNA is filed under the name Hevea brasiliensis (rubber tree). Lineage: Eukaryota; Viridiplantae; Streptophyta; Magnoliopsida; Malpighiales; Euphorbiaceae. The record is from RNAcentral.